UACACCCGAGUACAAAUUGGAUCCAGAGCCCCCAAGUCCUACAGAGGUAGUAGGUAAGCCUUGCUAGUGCCAGGUUAUAAAUUGCAUGCAGCCACAAAACGCCUGAAAGGAUUUUUGACUUUCAAAAUAUGAUCCAGAGUCUCCAAUAGAUGCUGGAUGUGGCUGGAGAUGUGAAGAGGUGCUUCCUGGUCAUCAAGCCUUAACUCAUCCCAGCAUCAGCUCCAAAGUCCAGCCUAAUCUAAACAUCAUCUAACUCGGGGAUGGUGAAACUGGAGCUUUAACUCCUCCUGAGGCAAAUUCCUGUCCUGCUGUGAACCUGUGGAACCAGCAUGCACCGAACCUCAGUGUAAGAAGAGCAGCCCCACGUGCAGGGACAGUGCCAGGCUGCCAUGCGGGAGGCCAGUCAGCACCUGGAAGCUGUGCCUGCAAACCAUCCCCCCUGCAUUCAGACGGCACUGGGCGGGCAGCCACAUCAGGGUGCGUCCCUCACUGGGAUGGGCCUCUGCUGAAGGCUGCCCGCAGGUCACCAGGGGAUCAGAUGUGUGUUUGUACUCAGUUUCCCAAAGCCCCUCUAACUGGUCCCAUAUAAACACCAGUUUUCAAAGGCCCAGAAGAGCCAGAAUGUCUCCAAUGGAAGGGUGCCUUUGCACCCAGAGGCGGCUGAUGCGGGGGAAAGAAUCCCACCAUCCCAGCAUUGGUGGGUCAGGAGAGUAGAGCGCCCCUCUCCAUCUUACGGGAUGCACGUGACUGGCAGCACAGGGAAGCAGUUUGGUCCCCAGGCCUGGCAGACUGCAGUGUUUAAGUUCUGGCUUUGCCUCUUCCUAGCAGAGUGAUCCUGGGUUAAGUUUCUCAAUAUCUCUGUUUCAGUUGUCUCCCCUGAGAGAUGGGAGAUGAAAAUAAUUCCCAUCUCAUGGGGUGACGGUAAGAAUUUAAUGAAUUGAUUCAAGGAAAAUGUUUAUACUAGCUCCUGGCACACAGUAACUCCUCAAAAAAAAAAAAAAAAAGGUUAGCCAUUAGGGUGCACUCAUGAGACCAUGCCUGGCUAAUAUCUGACAGCCAAUCAGGAGUGAGGAGGCAAUGAAGAGGCGUGGUCAAGAGCAGGGGCUGCUGGGGGAACAGGUGUGGCUUGAGAUGGGGUGGCUCUGAGCCUCAGUUUCCUCAUUUGUAAAGUGGGAAUAACACAACCAAAUCCCUUCUUAUAAUAUCUGGUGGUAGGAAGUAUAAAAUAAAUCGUUACAACUACAUUUUUUAGAUGAGAAAACAGAGGCCCAAAGACCUUAGAAACCUACCUUAAGUUACCAGCGAGUACGUGUGAAAGCUGAGAUUUGAGUCAAGCCCCUUUGCCGUCAGAGUCAUGAGUCCACACUUCAAACAAAUUGUCGAAAAUAUAAUGUAUUCAUCCUUUUUAUUUUUCCAUUCGGGGCUAUGAACACGAUUAAGAUGACAUUUGCCAAGCAAGGGGCGAAAUUGCUCCUAAACCUAAUCUUCAGUGAAUUUUUUUUCUCUAUCCUCCUUUGAUUAACUAGCAACCUUUAAAGUAGAGCUUAUAUAAAAAGCCAUUCGAGCUGCCAUCUACCUAGACAUAACAGACUCUUCUGGGGGUGCAUGUCCGCUGGUGGCUGAUUAGGCUAAAGCUACAAUAUAUCCAAAUCCAUAGACUGGAAUGACAUCCCUAAAAUCAAGAGGUAACAAAC
Myotis daubentonii (Daubenton's bat) is the source of this 1694-nucleotide long non-coding RNA. RefSeq lists it as uncharacterized. The record is from RefSeq and is a predicted model, not a curated record. The transcript has 3 exons. Lineage: Eukaryota; Metazoa; Chordata; Mammalia; Chiroptera; Vespertilionidae.